AGCGAACGCUGGCGGCAGGCCUAACACAUGCAAGUCGAACGGAUCCUUCGGGAUUAGUGGCGGACGGGUGAGUAACACGUGGGAACGUGCCCUUUGGUUCGGAACAACUCAGGGAAACUUGAGCUAAUACCGGAUGUGCCCUUCGGGGGAAAGAUUUAUCGCCAUUGGAGCGGCCCGCGUCUGAUUAGCUAGUUGGUGAGGUAACGGCCCACCAAGGCGACGAUCAGUAGCUGGUCUGAGAGGAUGAUCAGCCACACUGGGACUGAGACACGGCCCAGACUCCUACGGGAGGCAGCAGUGGGGAGUCUUGCGCAAUGGGCGAAAGCCUGACGCAGCCAUGCCGCGUGAAUGAUGAAGGUCUUAGGAUUGUAAAAUUCUUUCAGCGGGGACGAUAAUGACGGUACCCGCAGAAGAAGCUCCGGCUAACUUCGUG
This 433-nucleotide ribosomal RNA is filed under the name uncultured bacterium. Its description in RNAcentral is "partial 16S ribosomal RNA". It matches the Rfam family "Bacterial small subunit ribosomal RNA", at positions 29 to 507 of the family's 1533-position model. The record is from RNAcentral.